Molecule: microRNA precursor, 60 nt
Filed under: Limulus polyphemus (Atlantic horseshoe crab)
Lineage: Eukaryota; Metazoa; Arthropoda; Merostomata; Xiphosura; Limulidae
Description: Lpo-Mir-87-P2j_pre stem-loop
Source: RNAcentral
ACACCUGAAUAAUUGUCUCAACCUGUAGUUUUAACCAGGUGAGCAAAGUUUCAGGUGUGC